RNAcentral lists this ribosomal RNA (253 nucleotides) under uncultured bacterium. RNAcentral's name for it is "partial 16S ribosomal RNA". It matches the Rfam family "Bacterial small subunit ribosomal RNA", at positions 524 to 776 of the family's 1533-position model. The record is from RNAcentral.
UACGUAGGGGGCAAGCGUUGUCCGGAAUCAUUGGGCGUAAAGAGCGCGUAGGCGGUCCGAUAAGUCGGCUGUGAAAGUCAAGGGCUCAACCCUUGAAAGCCGGCCGAUACUGUCGGACUAGAGUCCGGAAGAGGCGAGUGGAAUUCCCGGUGUAGCGGUGAAAUGCGCAGAUAUCAGGAGGAACACCGGUGGCGAAGGCGGGUCUCUGGGCAACUACUGACGCUGAGGAGCGAAAGCGUGGGGAGCGAACAGG